RNAcentral lists this unclassified non-coding RNA (329 nucleotides) under soil metagenome. Its description in RNAcentral is "partial contains 5.8S ribosomal RNA, internal transcribed spacer 2, and large subunit ribosomal RNA". The stretch from base 1 to 120 matches the Rfam family "5.8S ribosomal RNA", at positions 35 to 154 of the family's 154-position model. The record is from RNAcentral.
GAUGAAGAACGUAGCGAAAUGCGAUAAGUAAUGUGAAUUGCAGAAUUCAGUGAAUCAUCGAAUCUUUGAACGCACAUUGCGCCCUCUGGUAUUCCGGGGGGCAUGCCUGUUCGAGCGUCAUUAUAACCACUCAAGCUCUCGCUUGGUAUUGGGGUUCGCGGUUCCGCAGCCCCUAAAAUCAGUGGCGGUGCCUGUCGGCUCUACGCGUAGUAAUACUCCUCGCGAUUGAGUCCGGUAGGUCUACUUGCCAGCAACCCCCAAUUUUUACAGGUUGACCUCGGAUCAGGUAGGGAUACCCGCUGAACUUAAGCAUAUCAAUAAGCGGAGGA